Cololabis saira (Pacific saury) is the source of this 920-nucleotide long non-coding RNA. RefSeq lists it as uncharacterized. The transcript is spliced from 3 exons. The record is from RefSeq and is a predicted model, not a curated record. Lineage: Eukaryota; Metazoa; Chordata; Actinopteri; Beloniformes; Belonidae.
AUGAACGAGACUGUCAUGAUGGAUGGAGAAGAUUUGGAUCCAAUUUUUACAAAAAAUUCACAGAGAGUAAAACUUGGUAUGAGAGCAGCGAGGACUGUGGGAAAAGUGGAGCUGAUCUGGUGAUCAUAAACAGCAAAGAGGAGCAGGAUUUUGUGGGACAACUGGACACAAAAGAAAAAUCCUGGAUUGGUCUGAAAGCUGAAUGGUUGACAAGUAAACGGAUAUUUGAAUGGAAAUGGGUGGACGGAUCACCACUGAAAACAACGUUCUGGGCUGCAGGAUCUUCUCAACAUGGGUAUAACCAUUAUGAAUAUGCUGCAGUGUGUUGUACUAAUGAAGGGAAAUGGACAUAUUUACUUCACACUUACAAGAGAAACUGGAUCUGUGAGAAGAAAAUACAAUAUUUCAUUGUUCAAUCCUGAUUAACUUCAGAUAACAUUUGGUUACUUUCAUUUAUUGUGUUUCGUGUGUCAUUUAUAAAUGUGGUUAUUCUGAACUUCAUCAUGUGUACAGGGUAGUGAAGCUGUCAUCAGAACUACAGGAGAACUUGAUAAUGCUGGAAUAAAAUAUAAUGAUUGUAAAUAAUUAUAAACAACACUUCUCUUCACUUUGUUUACUUGUGUUGUUUUAAUUUGAUGUGUGAGGAAUGAAAAGGUGUCAGUUAAAAUAAUUGACUUUAUUCUGCUACAUUUACAUAAACAUUUGUCCUCUUGCUUCAUUUUCCCAAAUACCAUCAGCAAUGAUAUGAACAAAAUCGAAAGUGUAUUUUAGGAACAGAGGAAAACACAUCAAUAAACAAGGAAACUUGACAACAGCUGUUGGAUUAAAUGUUUCUGCAGGACACAGAGUCUGAAGUUACAAUUUAGAUGUUUUUAACAUGAAAGUGUUUAAAUCAAAGAUAUACAAGAACAUGAGGAUGA